RNAcentral lists this ribosomal RNA (494 nucleotides) under uncultured bacterium. RNAcentral describes it as "partial 16S ribosomal RNA". It matches the Rfam family "Bacterial small subunit ribosomal RNA", at positions 28 to 507 of the family's 1533-position model. The record is from RNAcentral.
GACGAACGCUGGCGGCGUGCUUAACACAUGCAAGUCGAACGGUGAAGCGCCUUCCUUUUUGGUGGGUGGGGAUGAGUGGCGAACGGGUGAGUAACACGUGAGUAACCUGCCCCCUUCUUCUGGAUAACCGCAUGAAAGUGUGGCUAAUACGGGAUAUUCUGGGUCUGUCGCAUGAUGGGUCUGGGAAAGAUAUUGUUUCGGGGGGGGAUGGGCUCGCGGCCUAUCAGCUUGUUGGUGGGGUGAUAGCCUACCAAGGCGGUGACGGGUAGCCGGCCUGAGAGGGUGGACGGUCACACUGGGACUGAGACACCGCCCAGACUCCUACGGGAGGCAGCAGUGGGGAGUAUUGCACAAUGGGCGAAAGUCUGAUGCAGCGACGCCGCGUGAGGGAUGGAGGCCCUCGGGUGGUGAACCUCUUUCGCUAGUGAAGCAGGCCUGCCUCGUUUGUGGGUGGGUUGACGGUAGCUGGAUAAGAAGCGCCGGCUAACUACGUG